UCGAUCGAGGAAAGCGCAAUCGAUCAAAGUCGAGAGGUGAAGGUUUUAGGGCUGCGAAAGCUUAGUGAUGUGAUCGACAUCAUCGUGAGGCAAUCGGCUUCGGAUUGGCUCCGCCACCUGCGUGAACAUCACGGCAGCUUUGAAUAUCUGUAAGUGUAUGUUUUGGCUAUGAAUUAUGUUGGAUAUGAGCAUAGCAAUUUGCACUCGAAGUCUUGAACACUAUCAAAUUUUCCCCUUUCUUCCUGUUCGUAUCAAAUUGAGAACUGUAAGGUUGAAUUUAUUAUAGUACUUUUAGAUUACGAUUAAUCACCUCUUCAUUCUCUUUCACUCGGUUCUUUUUUGAUUCAUUCAUAUAAAUUCUCAGUUUGUUAUUUAGGCACACCAAUCCUCAUGAGAGCCAAAUACGCAACAACCCGAUAUAACACCAGCAUCAGUGCCAAAGCCACAACCGAUAGCACUUGCCCAUCAAGCCCAACGCUCUUAAUAGCCGGAAAAUCCUCAACCAAACACGUCAAGUUACCACAUUUGUAAGUCUGCCCAUGCUCAUAUUGUGAAGCUAUCAACAACUUGUAAGUAUGUUGACUGAUGGAUAUGUAUUUGAUCCAAGAUAUGAAAUCAGGCACAUGUUGAACAUAGUAUCCACCUGCUAGUGUGAAUGAUAACAUGAUCACAGAUCCCAUAAUGGUGGCUGAUUUUUGGUUCAUAACUAGUGCUCCUACGGCUAACCCUAGCCCUUGUGAUGCCAACACGCUAAAAAGAAGUGUGAAUAGCGCAUACAAAAAACUUCCAAAAUCUGAUUUGAGCCCAGCCAUCCAGUAGGUUAUGAUGCAAAACAAUGUUGGUAGAACUAACUCCAUAGGAAGAUCUCCUAUUGUUCUUGAUAUAAAAUAAGAUGAAAGUCUAUACAUUCCUGAAGAUCGUUCUUUUCCUAGCAUUUGCCUUUCUUGAGGGAAUGUGAAAAUUGCUUGAAAUAAAGGAAAGAACCCCCAGAAUCCAGUGUAAAAGAAGAGCAAUCCUGACUGCAUAGUUUUCGAUUAAGAAACAUGUUAGAUUAUUAUUAUUAUUAUUAUUAUUAUUAUUAUUAUUAUUAUUUAUAAGUUAAAAGUGAUGACAAACAAGAGUAUAUAUUUAUAUUUUAUACCUGAUCUUGUAAGUGAGCCUUAUCAGAUUGCCACCAUAGCAAACCACAAAGGAAUGACACAGCUAUAACCUGACCGAUCUUGAGAGUGGAAAAGAAUUCAUGUUUCCUUUCUUUAACACCUCUUUUGAGUAAAACCAUGACUUGUUGCAACCAAGUCGUGCUCCAUCGUUCAUGCUUCUUGUUGUCUAAAACAUCGUUCUCAUCAUCAUUGAAUUCUACUACUUCAGCUUUUAAUUUCUCAUCAAGAUUCGACUUAUAAGCCAAAACCAACUUCUGCUUCACCGCAUUUUGAUCCCCAUAACUUGAAUUAUCCGGCGAUAUCCCUAAAAUAUUAACAACAUUUGUAGUAACUAUGCAAAUUCUUUAAAAAAAAAAAAAAAAAAAAAAAAAAAAAGGAAAUGUGUAUGUUCAACACCAAUGGUCAAGAGACAGUUACGUUCAGAACAUGAACUUGCCAGGUUCUGAACCUGAACUAAAAUGUCAUGACUAAAAUGUCAUGUCAGGUUCAGAACCUGGCAACCUGCCAGUAGAACUUGAACAAUAUUUUCAAUUUUUAUACCAUUUGCAAGAUCUAGCAAAAAGUCGGAAGGAUUCAUGGUGACCGAUGGCGAAAAUCCAAUAGUGUUAAAAUAAUCCAUAACUUCCGAUCCUUUACCAAAAAACAACGAAUUCCCUUCCGAUAACAACACCACCUUAUGAAACAUGUAAAAAAGCCUACUUGAAGGUUGAUGAAUCGUCAUAACAAUUGUUCUUCCACCUCUUGCUAAUUCCCAUAAAGUCAAAGCAAUCCUUUGAGCAGUUGUUGAAUCAAGCCCAGAUGUCGGCUCAUCCAAGAACAACAAACUAGGGUUUAUAAGCAUUUCUUGCCCGAUACUAACUCUUUUUCUCUCUCCACCCGACACCCCUCUUAAAUUCGGCCCACCGAUGAUAAUAUUCUUGCAUCUUGUUAACCUAAGUUGGUCGAUCACCGCUUCCGCAUGCGUGAUCUUUUCUUGAGUUGUGAGCUUUUUAGGCAAGCGGAGUAAGGCGGUGAAAACAAGGGUUUCGGUGACUGUUAAAUGAGGAUAUAGAAUGUCAUCUUGAGUGACAAAACCGGUGUACCGCUUCAUGAUACUUGAAAACGGUUUGCCAUUGUAGGUGAUGGUCCCGUCUAGCUUGCCACCUAGGCGGCCACCUAAUGCGGUUAAAAGGGUAGUUUUUCCACAUCCGGAUGGCCCUAACAUGGCUAACAUUUCUCCGGGCAACACCAUGCCGGUUAUUCCUUUGAGUAUCUGUUUCUCUGUAGGCUCGUGGUUUUUCUUUCUUUUUAUCCAUCCUUGUUUCUUGUUUUUGAUGGUGUAAACCACUUCUUGAAACUGUUCAAUUAAAUAAUCGGAAUAAUAAGUUUAUAACAUAUAAACACUUUUUUUUUCGAAAAAGGAUGAAAAAUGAACCUUUAGUGUAACCGGAUGAUCGACUUUGUUGAAGAUUGAUGGAGGGGAUGAGGUUUGAGCUGAUGAUUGAGCCUCUAUAUCUACCAUUUGGGUUGCCAUUUGAAUAUUUUUUUUCCUAAUUCUGAUUUACAAAUAAAAAAAUGGUAUAUGUUGUUAUUUACAUACAUACAUACAUGUGAUUCGUUAAUUGUAUGUUGGUGUAUUAUAUAGUAAGAGAACCGAAUUAAGGUGAAAUAAAAGUCAUGCAAUAGAGGUGUGCGGGUUUAUGGCACAUACCCUUGAUUUGGUGUAAGAGAAUAGAGAUGGAGAAGGAAGUCAUGCAAUAGACAUGUGCGUUUAUGAUGUGUUCCCAUGUAUUUGGGAUGAUUUGGUGUGAUAGUUUGUGUUGGGUGAAAUAUUUGUUUGUGUAAACAAAAUGUUUUUUUUUUGAAAGAGAAUGUUUGUUUGUAUUUGAUUCAGCAAUGUUUUUUUUUUAAAUGACAUUCAGUGUCACGUUUUUGUUAUGAUCAAAUGUGUAACAUUUUAUUUGUAACUUGUUUAACGGAUUGAAAUAUGAAUGAAUAUUCUGUUAAGGUAAGUUGCAUAAAUUGGGAAAAGAUAAAAACGAAAUAUGAUUGCAUAAAUUAUUGGUUAACAAAGUGAAAGAUUGUUGUUGUGUAAGUAUUUGAAAAUGGUAAACCGUGUCCAUGUCACAAGACCCAUCACAUUGGGUGUAAAUCAUAGAACAAAAUUAGCAAUACUUUGCCUUUGGGUAUGUACAACUUUGAAUCAUGGACCUCCUUUAUAGAAUUUCACAUGUAUACUCCAGUUCUCAUCUCAGCUCAGGGGUAAAAUUAAAAUCAUCUUGUCGUUAUUGUGGUUUUUUUAGAACUUAUCUUUUUAUGUUCCAAAUUUUUAUGAUAGUUUUGGAUUUUAAUGUGUUUAGGCUCUAGUUAUUGAUCUUCUGGAUGGUGCUCAAGAAAGAGUUACUAAUUCAUUGUCAUUGCUGAUGCCAUUCUGAUUGAUGUUUCAAGCUAGUAAAGUUCAUUGCUAAAUUUGGUGAUUAGUCAUUGUUCAUUUCUAUUCUUGGUAUGUUGUUUUUUGUUUGGAUUUUAUUGGUAUAAAUCUCAAAAUCCUGCUAAUUGUCUUCUAAUGGUGCUUUGUAUUAGUUCUUUUUUAUUUUAUUUUUAAAUAUUUAAUAUAUUAAUAAGUAAUAAAAAAAUUAUAUAUAAUAUAUGUGAUGCGGUGCAGUUUUUAUUUUUAUUUAUUUAUUUUUUUUGCGGUUUUUGAAAACUAAAAGCUGUACCGCACUGCAAGUUUGUAGUUUUUGAAAAACAGAAAAUCUCACCAUCGUUUCCGUUGCAGUUUCGGUUUAUUGGUUGCGGCUUAUGUGGUUUUUUCAGGUUUUUAGUUGCGGUACGGUUGGAAAUGUUGAACAUAGUCGGGAAUCGGUAAGGCUUGGUAUACACGACAUGAGGGUCUCGUAGUGAGGAAGGAGAUGGUUGACUUUCGUGGUGUAUACCAUGAAAGACCAUAGCCAAUAGCUUCUCUUCCUCUCUCUUUCUCUCAUUUCGUUGCAAGUACACCACCAAUGGUGUAAUGGUGUGGAAGGAGAUGACGAUGUGGUGGAGUUGUUUGGCGUGUCCUCAUACCCGAUGGCCUAAUAGAAGCUACUUAGAAGUUGUUUGAUAGUUGUUAGCUAGGUUAGAGCUGACUGAGCUAGAAGCCGAUUGGGUUAGAAGUUAUGAAUUAACUUCUGAUUGAAACUUGAUAUUUGAUUUUGCAUCCGAUUGGUAGUGCAAAAUAACUAUAUUUUUUAUAAUAAUUUCUUUAUGAUUUACCAUUUAA
RNAcentral lists this long non-coding RNA (4401 nucleotides) under Lactuca sativa (garden lettuce). Its description in RNAcentral is "long non-coding RNA (LSAT_LNC004849)". The record is from RNAcentral. Lineage: Eukaryota; Viridiplantae; Streptophyta; Magnoliopsida; Asterales; Asteraceae.